Molecule: long non-coding RNA, 15250 nt
Filed under: Ananas comosus (pineapple)
Lineage: Eukaryota; Viridiplantae; Streptophyta; Magnoliopsida; Poales; Bromeliaceae
Description: long non-coding RNA (ACOM_LNC043043)
Source: RNAcentral
GGUUACGGGUGUCGCGGGAGGCCGAUUGCAAGUGUCGACAAGCAAUCGGAAAGCGAUUCGAGGUGGGUUGUGCUUACCGAAGCGACUAGGUCGCCCUUUAUGUCUAAGAAACAUACAAAUUCAUAUUGAUGCAUGUUAAUAAAAUGACAUAGCUAAUGCAUGUGGACAAUAUGAUGCAAAAUGCUAAGUAGAAUGCAUGAUGAUGUGAUAUAAAUGAUGCUAGUUAAAUGCAUGAGGUAAAUGGCAUUUGCAUGUUAACGUAAAGUAGAGAACAUGCUAGUUGUAAUGCAUAAUGAAUUAAAUGCUAAAAGAGUGCAUGAGAUGCUAAGUAUAUACUACUUUGGAUGAUGAUUAUAUGUAUAUUGACAUAUUAUGUGAUGCUAGUAAUAUAUGUGCAUGAUGACAUAUUGUGAGUUAACAUAUUGUGGAUUAUGUUAAAUAGAAACAUAUACAUGAUGACAUAUAUUGCAUAUGAUAGAAGAAUUAUGCAUGUUGCCAUAUUAUGGAACAUAGUAGAUGAAUUAUGCAUGUUGAACUUGGUCGAUUAGAGAAAUUGACUUUGGAAAACAAGAACAUAUCGAGUGGCAUUAAUGUAGUGUAUUUGACACUAGAGGUUUGGGAACCUAGGGAUAGGUGAAUCCCUUAGAAAAUGCCUUGUGGAUAAAGAACUUAGUAAACCUAAGUACCCUCACAUGGAGAGGUUGUCGAUGAGUUAUUGAGAUAUUGACUCUAGUUGUAGAGCAUCCUCACUUGGAGAGGAUUUGAUUGGGUUGUUGACUCCAGUUGUAGAGCAUCCUCACUUGGAGAGGAUUCGAUUGGGUUGUUGACUCUAGUUGUAGAGCCUCCUCACUUGGAGAGGAUUGGAUUGGGUGUUGACCCUAGUUACAGUGUAUCCUCACUUGGAGAGGAUAGAUCUAGCUCACAGUCUGCGUUUAGGGUGGUAUAGCCAUCCAAUCCCCACAUGGAGGGGAUUGUCGUCGAGUACUCCGGAGUGUCGUGCGACUAGGACCACUUGGAGGUCCGGACCACAUGGAGGUCCGCAGACGGUCCCGGGCUUGGGUGCACUUGGAGCUCCCUCCCCACUUUGGGAUUGAAAGGUGAGUUAUUGGCGAACCCUAGGGCUUCGCUACAGAUUGGGUAAAAGAACAGUGAACAAUGUCAUUGAACAUUAUUAUUCGAACAUGGAUCGAAUUCGUUAGCAUGAUAGUAAACCUUUACUAUUUGAUGCAUGGUAUGAGUUUUAGUUGCAUCCCAGUUGAGUGGAUUUAGGGCUGAGGUGCAUGUGAGACAUCCUUCACCUUGAGCCUGGCUUUGUGCGGUAUUCCGCGUGUGAUUGACUCAAGACCGAGUCGAGUGGAUAGCUUAUAAAAGCAGGUUAAACCCUAUGAGCAGAAUUGUAAUUGACAAGAAUCUAAGAUAGAGGAAAACUUAGAAGUCAAUUGGUUGAACCGUGAAUGACAGGAAUAAAAGUAGUAUCGAUUGAACUACUAGUUGGUUGCAUGGUUGCAUAAACUGCAUGAAUUUCAUAUUGCAUUUUGUGAGGCACAACAUGUAUUUCAAUACUUGAAUAUAUAUAUCUGUUGGAUAUUUGUUGGACUAACAUGUUGCAGGGCCUCCUUAGACCUAUUGGUCGAGCUUUUCCCUUGGGUGGCCGUACCCACUGGGAACCAUGGAGUUGGUUCUCACCCCACGUUGUUUUGGGGUGUUACAGGUUCGCACGUGAGCGGCGCGGCGGCGCAAGGCGAGGGCGUAGCUCCAUAGAUACCGCCCUACCCCAGAGACCAGAGAUAGAGGUACCCCGAGUCGGCAUAGCCUUGGGGUAGAGGGAAAAGAAAAAGAGCAAACUUGUAAUAAUAUUGUGAUCAUUAAUUGUAUUUGGAAGAAAAUGUAAUGUAAUAAUGCUAAUGUGAUGUAAAAAUGAAUCUAAUGAGAAUGCUUGUAAUAAUAUAGGAUGUGUUAUAUUGUUUCAUACCUUCCUUGUGCAAUCUUGCUUGAAUACUGUUCCUGGUUGGAACUUCUUGUAUUUGAAUUGAUUGCGACGCCUAGGACGUACAGGAGAGACUCUGCCCGUUUGGCGGUCUGUCGGCGGCGCCGCGACCCGGCCAAAUAGGCGGGUGGUCGCGGGUCGUGACAGUUCCGAACUGCUUAACUUCUAGAUGAAUAGUAUUUUGGGGGCCUAUAUAUAUAUGUGUGAACUUGCACUCUUUUCUCCUCUGUGCCCAAUCCGAGAGAGACUUGGAGAGCAAGCUUCUUUUCUCUCUCUCUCUCUCUUUGUCUCUAUGAUCUCUCUUUCUCUCUACCAAAAAGAAUUAUUUGGAGGAGAAAAUUGGAGUUGCUUGGUGGUGUAGCAAGCUUGGUGGAGAAGAAGGCUUGGAGUUAAAGCUUCAUCUUCAUCUUCUCCUUCCUUGGUCUAAAAGGAAACUUCAGAGGUAAGCUUUGAUAGCAACAAUGGUGGAUUGCUAAGGAAUGAUUUGUAGACUCUAAAAUUGGAUUUAGAGAAACCCUUAAGUGCUAAAUAGAUGCUAUUUGCUUGAACCAUGAAUCAAUUUGGUGAUUUCUUGCAAUAGUAGCAUGUUAGGGCUCAAAAAGGGGGUUUUGCUAUAUAAGGGGGUUUGAUCUAAAUUGAGCUUAUAUAAACCUAAUUGUUAGGUAUACGAACACGCUGGCGAAGUCGGUUCGGCGAUACGACGAGGCUACGCGAAGAUAUUGAAGAAAAUGCUGAUUUCGGUACAGAUUGCCGCAGCUCGCAGCGUAAGCUUUCAAAAAUCACGAAACCGGAAUCGUAGUAUCGUGACAUCACCUAAAGUCUUGGAGCUAAGAGAGUCGGGGGCACGAAGGGUCGCGUGGAGCUCUCGGUGGGUUUGACCUCACUACAAAUGAGAAAAUCUCAUUUAUGUGGAUUUAAAUAUCGUAAAAUGGAAAAUUACGCAUUUUCAUGAUAGAUGCAUUAUUUGUGAAAUUUAGAAUGCUUGAAAUGCUUAUGUUAUAUACAAUGCAUUUUCGGACCUCUAUGUAGUAGAGAGCUUGUAUGUGAGACUUAUGCAUGGGUUUAGCAUUCUAAUUGGGACUUGGAAUCAUGCUCCAUAUAGUAGACAUGACAAAUGUAAUAUGCCUUGGACAUAAAUCUCAUUUGGACAUAGGAGAAUACAUUAGGCCAUAAAGUGGCUUUGGACUUGAAUAACUUGUGAGUUAGGGAGCUAAUGUCGUAAUGCGACAUCGGGCUUGAGCUAUGAAUGAGCCUAGCAAAGUAAUGCCAUAGAGAGGCAUUAGACUUGAAUGAUAUGUGAAUUGUAUGUGCAUGUUAAUAUUAUGAGAAUUAUGCUAAGUUGGUAGUUGCAUUGGAAAGUGUAUGCAUGUAGCAUUAUGAGAACUAUGCUAUGUUGAUAGUUGCAUACGGACGCAUUGAAACCAUAUGUUAGUGGAUAGAUGCAUGUUAAUAUUUAUAUGCAUUGUGGAAUACAUGCUAGGUACAUAUUAGCAAUGUGAGAUCAUGCUAGAGAGCAUGCGUAUUAACCUAUUAUUGAUAGGGUAAGCUAAUGUCAUAAAGAGGCAUUGGGCUUGGAAUUGGUAUAUUAAGCUAAUGUCAUAAAGCGACAUUGAGCUUGGGACAUGUAUGAACCUAGUAAUUAAUGCCAUAAAGAGGCAUGGAAAUUGGAACAUGCUUGGAUAUAGUAAUGUUCUAGUGCCCUAAAAAGGCACUAGACUUAGUGAAUGUUGGAACUUCACUUGGGGAUAUUAAACUAAACCUAUGAGUUGCUAGUGAUUAUUUCUAUGGUUGAGCCAUGAUGACCGGAUUGUCGUGACCAUGACUAUGCUUGCUCGCUCGUGCGGUAUUGAGAAGCCUACGAGGGCCUGGAGGGUUAGACUCAUUCCUCGAGGAGGAAUGCUGGAGCUACCACUGGCACUUAGGCGGCACAAGCCGGCACUCUGGAGUUAGCCUACACUACUUAUGCUCGCUCGUGCGGUAUUGAGAAGCCUACGGGGGCCUGGAGGGUUAGACUCAUUCCUCGAGGGGUAAUGCUGGAGCUACCACUGGCACUUAGGCGGCACAAGCCGGACUACACUUGUGUAGGUCCUAAAAUAAGAUUGAACAAUGACAUUAAAUCGGUGUAUGACAAUCACUACUGAUAGGCCUAGUAGUUGGUUUACUUGGACAUGCUUUUAGCCUAGUAUUGGACAUUUAGACAUAUAAUAUACGUGAUAGUAUUACUUGUUGCAUCAUAGCAUGCUUGGUAGCCAUGAUAGAACAUAGUAUGUAAGUAUUGGCAUAUUGGAUCAGGAUAGAGUAGAUGUACACCACGUUGACAUCAUGUAUGCUUGUGGCAUAGUAGAAUAGCAUUUCAUUAUAUGCUUUUACUUUCCGCAGUUACUUUUCGUUACUCUCUUACCUGCUCAUAUUUUGGGCCUAGUAGUGCAUUCGGCUAUGGUCAGUAAUUGCCUACUGGGAACUAUAAAUUAUAGUUCUCACGCCCCCCCUGUUUUAUGUUUUCUUUCAUAGUCUUCCACCCCGGGAGAGGCUCGGAAUUGCGGGAAAGGAAUCGCCUCGAGUUAGCUAUCGGGGAAUUCGACGAUAGGUGGUCUACCUCUCUUCUGAGUUUUGUAUAGAGAGGUUGAGAGACUUGUACCGUUUUUGUAGAGACCACUCCCUAUAUGUAGCUUGAGACUUGUGAUGUAUGAUUUUACGUUUUGCCUUAGUUGUUUAGUUUUCCUUGUUUCUACCUGUUGUUAGAACCUAGCUGUAUACUUGCUCUGAUAUCUCUAGAUACACUCUAUUUAUUGUUCAUUUAUUCGCUAUUGUUGUAGACGCCUUAUAUGUGUAGACAUAUGGCGGGUCUGGGCACACACCGGGCGGGCCUAGGCCGGGUCCCGGGGCGUGACAGAUUUAUUUUGCUAUCAGAGUCUAGGAUUGAGUCUUAGUGGACCUAACAAACCUUAGGCCGGUUGGACUAUAGGAAAUAGGCUCAUGAGAAACGAGGUCUAUUUGAUGAGCGAAAGUAUUGUGAUUGGGUAUUGAUAUAACUCUAAAAAGUUAGAGUUUGAUCGGAGUGUAUAGCUUCUAACUUCGCAGAGGAUUACGUUGGCGGCCGACAACGUAACAUCGUGAGUUAGUAGUAAAGGACACUUCAUUACUUUCGCAUGAUUUGGGUAUUGGUUAGUUGAGCGGGGCUGCGUUAGCAUGGGUUGUUUUCACCCGUGCUUGUUAUGUUUGCUGCAGCUUGUGACGUCGGCGACAGACACGAUGGCAGCCGAGGCAACCGAGCCGGGGAAGCCUGCAUCCCCCCGAUCUGGCGAGAUUCGGGAGUUGAGGGAACAGAUGGCCACUUUAGUUGGCGUGGUGAAGUGACAGACGAGUGUGGUGCUACUUCAGGCCGAAGCUUUACGCCGACAGGACGAGGGAAUCAGGCGUUUGGAAAGCCUAUUGAACCAACAGACGGCUGACUUUGGAAAGCCCCAGGAGGGUUUGGAUCAAGCCUUACCCGCGGGGAAAGGCAUGAAGGUUACCGGCGUGGCAAAGGAGACCACCAAGAGCGAUAUAUUGCAUGUCGGCGAGUCGUCGAGGAAGGUAAAGAAGAACCGAUUUCGAGGACGCGGUUCUUUCGCCGGGAGAAGGCCGCCAAGACAUCCCAAGAGCCGGAGCCAGUCGUGAGGACGUGGCUCAUCUGCACUGCAUGGAGGAUCUGAUCGUCGCCAGGCUCCGAGCUGCGUGAUCUGCGGUGGUCGUCAUUACCCGCGGCAGUGCUCGCAGAGUCGGGGCGUGACACCUGGUAACCCGCUAGAGAAGUCAAACCGGCGAGAUGAUCAAACUAAGUUUCGGGCGCGGGUUGCGAAUCGGAGCGGUCGCCCGGAUCCGAAACCCGUUAACCCACUAUCUCGGUCAGACAGGGUACGGUGGUCAACGCAUGUUUCGGGCGCCCGGAAAUUUUCGGUCAACCGAAAACUGCCGUUCGAAAAACAUAAAAUAUUUCCAGCCAAAAGCAAAAUAACAUUCAAAGAAAACUCAGGCAUUUAAAUCAAUCAUUCCUAAUUCUCUUCUAAGUUGAGUGAAUCUAUCCUCACUAAGUGGUUUAGUAAAAAUGUCCGCUAAUUGAUUAUGAGUGUCCACAAAUUCUAUAGUGACAUCUCCUUUUUGAAUAUGAUUUCUAAUAAAAUGAUGUCUAAUUUCAAUGUGUUUAGUUCUAGAAUGUUGAAUAGGAUUUCUAGAUAUAUUGAUGGCACUAGUAUUAUCACAUUUGAUUGAAACUUGUUUUUGAUGCACUCCAAAGUCCUCAAGGGUUUGUUUCAUCCAUAAAACUUGUGCACAACAACAACCCGCCGCGAUAUACUCGGCUUCGGCGAUUGAAAGUGCAACCGAAUUUUGCUUUUUCGAAGACCAUGAGACUAAGGAGUGACCAAGAAAUUGACAAGUCCCACUCGUACUUUUCCGAUCAACUUUGCAUCCGGCAAAGUCGGCAUCCGAAAAGCCAAUAAGAUUAAAAUUAGUGCUUUUAGGAUACCAUAAUCCUAAGUUGAGAGUCCCCUUAACAUAUCUAAGAAUUCUCUUUACGGCCACUAGGUGUGACUCCUUAGGUUGAGCUUGAAACCGAGCACACAACCAAACACUAAACAUAAUGUCCGGCCUACUUGCGGUAAGAUAAAGUAAACUGCCAAUCAUACCUUGGUAGAUAUCAUGUGGUAGCAAAUAUUUAUGCUCAUUUACUUGUCGUAUUUCUCGCUUUAUCUAUCUAUAUGCACUUACCCUCUUUUGUUCAGCUUUUGGGCCUAGUGGCGUAAUGCACUGAAGUCGGUAAUUGCCCACUGAAAACUAUUAUUUAAUAGUUCUCACGCCCCUAUUUUAUGAUUUCUUUCAGAGCCUUCGGCACCGGCGGAGGCACGGGAUCGCGGCAAGGGAGUCGCGUAGCUAGCUAGCGGGGAGCUCGUUUUUGCUCUUAGAUAGAGACCACCUAUGUACCUUAUUUAGCUCUUGUAUUCGGAUUUUCAGAUGUACUACUUUAUAUUUUUACAUAAUGGAUUUAGCUUUAUGUUCCUUUUCCUUUUGUAGCUUCGAGAUACACUUUGCUUUGAUACAUCUAGAUGUUCUCCUUCUUAUUGCCUUAUUUAUCGUUUUGUUUUAGACGCCUUGUAUGUUUAGACAUAUGGCGGGUCUGGGCACGUGCCGGGCGGGCUUGCGCUCGGUCCCGCGGCGUGACAGAUUAAUUUGGUAUCAGAGCCUAGAGUUGAGUCUUAGUAGACCUAGCAAACCUUAGGCUGGUUGGACAAUAGAAAAUAGGCUCGUGAGAGACGAGGUCUAUUCGACUUGUGAACAAAAGUAUCAUGAUUGGGUAUCUUGAUAACUCUAAAAAGUUAGUGUUGAAUCGAAGUGUAUGGCUUCUAACUUCGCGAAGGAUUACGUUGGCGGCCGACAACGUAACAUCGGGAGUUAGUAGUGAAGCUUACUUCCUUACUUUCGCCUGAUUUGGGUAUUAUCUUUUGAGCAGGGACUCGAUAGCAUGGGUUACUAACUUACGCUUUUAUGAUGUUGUAGUGACGAUGCCGAUUACACGCUCCCAAUCUGUCGAAGCGUAUAAUGCGGCAAACUUGGAGGAGGUUGAGACCUCCGCUACCUCUGGAUCUGGCGAGGUCCGUGAGUUGAUGGGCCAGCUUGCGGCCCUCACUGAUAUGGUGGCACAGCAGACGGAGGCAGCGCGCCGACAGGAGGCGCGGAUGAAGCGCUUGGAGGACCUUCUGAUGCAGCAGGCGGCAGCUUCCAAGGAGACUCAGGCCUCUACACCGCCAGCACCAGUUGUGGAUGUUGCGCCGAGAACGCCGUCCCCCGUGCCCAGUUCUUCGCGUGCGGCGCUUGUGGCCGCACCCCAGGAGGAGGCUUUGGCGGCACCACCUAUCCAGGUGCCCCCGGUUGGAGCAGCAUUCCCUACCUUGGUCGAGGGAGCGGAGCAGGACCGACUCAUGGAGCGCCUCAACGAGUUCAGGAGGUGUAGUCCUCGGGUCUUCGAUGGAGAGAAGGUCGACCAUUGGAUCAUGGAAAAGUGGUUGAUGUAUAUGGAGAAGCUCUUCGGCGACACCUUCGUGGAAGAGAGAGAUCGAGUUUGGCUCGCCACUCAUCACCUAGACGGCGAGGCCUAUCGCUGGUGGUUGGAUCUUCAGGAGAACCCCAGCACCGACUUGGCGGCCAUUACUUGGAAGAAGUUCAAGGAGCUUCUGUUGGCGCACUACUUCCCAACCAAUGUCAAGAGGAAGAUGGAGCAGGACUUUCGCAACUUGCGCCAAGGAGACCGGACUGUAGCCGAGUACGAGAGGGAGUUUUCUCGGCUUCUACACUGCUUGCCUUUCGUUGUGCGGGACGACGAGGACAAGGCACGCAUUUUCGAGCGAGGGUUGCGGCCGUCGAUCUUCCGAUUUGUGCAAUCCUCUAACCUCCAAAGCUACCAGGAAGUGGUGGAUCGCACGCUCAUCGUGAAGAGCGACGCGGCUGAUGUCCAGGAGCGGUGAGAGGCGAAGGACAAGGAUAAGGCCAAGAGGCCUGCGGCUGAGUGUGCGAGCCAGACGCACUCUAGGAGGCCGCCUAAGCAUCCUAGGAGCCAGCAGCGUGGAUGUGGCUCAGCAGCGCAGCGAGGAGGUUCUGACCGUCGCCAGCCUUCCCCGUGUGUGAUCUGCGGUGGUCCUCAUUACCUACCGUAGUGUCCGCAGCGGGCGAGCAGGUGCUUCCAGUGUGGCCAGGAGGGCCACGUUCGGACUGAGUGCCCGAGAGGUUCGUCACCGGCACUGUCGACUGCAUCGGCACCGGCUCUACCAGCCGCUAGCCACGGGACUCCAUCAACACAGUUCCAGCCUGGGCGGCCACCCGUCCAACGUCAGCGCGAGGGAUCUCGUCAGGCCCCGAGUGGGCAUAUGUAUGCCGCUCAGACUGAGGAAGCGGCAGCAGCCGAGGAUGUGGUUGCAGGUAUCAUUUUACUUGAUGGCAUUAGAGUUUGUGCAUUAUUUGAUACCGGUGCAUCACAUUCAUUUAUUGAUCAGCUGUUUGCCGAGUUGCAUGGCAUCCUAGUGGUUUCCUUGUUGCAUCCGGAACGUGUAGUUGUUCCCGACCACUCUUUGGAUAUUAGAAAGUAUUGCCCUUGUUGCCUUGUGUGGGUAGCAGAGUGGAUUAUGCCCGUGGACUUGCUAGCUUUGCGCAAGCUAGGGGAUUUCGAUGUGGUCUUGGGUAUGGAUUGGUUGACCAAGUACUAUGCCACAAUCGAUUGUAAGAAUCGCGCAGUUACCUUUAGAGAACGGGGGCAGAUUGAGGUUGUGUUUAGAGGAUGCCGGAGUUCGCUUUUUGCGAUGACGAUCAGCUCGUCUCGAGCUAGGCAGUUUGUCACGUCCCGUUAUCGCCAAUUUGGUAGAUCCGGGCCCGCGCACAGACGCCGAACGAACAGCACCUCCUCUGUUCGCCCAAGGCUCAACAACAACGAGUACAUGUAUAAAGAAAUAAAUAAUUCCCAGGAUCACAUUUCCAUAUACAUGGCUUGCACGAAGGCAAGCAACAACCACAAGUGAUAGUAAACUAACUGUAUAAUGAAAUUCACUGUAAUUUAAAAUUUUACACAACUGAACUUGUAACUGAAAUAUUUAGUUAUAUACAUGCUUUUUAUACAUUCAUUUACAUGUCUCUGUACAUCAAAAUGGAUGAUACAUGAACUCAAAAUGGUAAUUGCUAAACUCUGGUGUCAGCUAGCUAAGCUGCAGGGCCCUUGCCACGAUCCUCGGCCUCAAAACUCGCACUGGAACCUGUAUGGUUAGUGGUGUGAGAACUACAAGAAAGUUCCCAGUGGGUUCGGCUGCCGACUUCGCCGACUCACCCACUAGGUCUACUCAGGCAUAUGUAGGCAAGAAAAGUAAGCAGAUAGUAACCAACUAUAACAUGUAACUACUACAAUGCCUGUACAAAGCUGAAAGAAGUAACAGAUAUAAAAACUGUAAAUAUGCAUGCAUGCUUUUCAUUAACUUUACCCAAUCUUUUGGUUAACCCUCUGGUUAACAGCUGGACAAGUACGUUAGUCCUGGGGCAAGUACGUUAGCCCAUAAAUUUACCCAAUUCAGUGGUUAACCCUUUGGUUAACAAUAACUCACCAACGAAAUCCCUCACGGGCCCUAAGCUGCCUCCCGAUGGGACCGUCUGUCGGACAAGUACGUUAGUCCUGGGGCAAGUACGUUAGCCCAACAAGUGACUACUCCGGAGCUCACUGCCUGGGGGGAGCGACCACCACCAAGCUAAGAAAACAGACUAUGUGAGUAAGAUCUGAUCCCCCUUUAGAGGAUUCAACUGACAACAAUGUCACAAUUUAACUCUAACUAGUUCUUUAUACUAGUUUCAUAAUUGCAUUUCUCGAUGCUAACCAAAUCUCUAGUCAUGAUGUCACCAAGUUUACUAUUGUCUUGGUCCUUUACAGUUUCAUACAUUCAUAGGGUUCUAUGUCCACAUUCUAAUGUUCAUAUGUUCUUACUAUCAAUAAGAAUUCACACGUUCAAUAUCACUUGCAUAAUGCCAAUGCCCAUACCCUAUAAUGCAUGAAUACAGAAGUAAAUAUGCUCAAUGAAUAGCAUAGACAUAAAAGGUGAUUCAAAGACUUCGGAUAGCACCACCCACCUGUAGUGGUGUCAAUCAACUAGAAUCCACGUCUCGGAAAGCGUCGACGACUAUCUCUCGCGACUCCGUGCAAAUAGGACUAGAGCGGUCUCUACCGUAAUUAGCGUGUCGUCGACCUGUCGGAAAGUCAAUUUAGACUCUUGGGCAUGUUUACUUUUCACUUAUAAAGGAUUAGAAAAGAUUAAACUAGAGUCAUUACUCAUAAUUGACAAGUUAGCAUUUCAAUGCUAUAUAAAGCGGCAACUAUAGCCGAAAACCUUCUUUUGGCGAUAUCUUUGCGUAGGUUCGUCGGAUUGCCGAACCGACUUCGCCAACGCGUUUCUUUUACCCUCAAUUUGGUUUACACGCGGUCAAUUUCGCAUUAGGACUCUUAUUUUGCAAAAGUGCAUUGUCGGGGUCAAAAUCAAACUAUCGAGCAAUUCAACUUUUAUUUCAUUCCAUCUCUCUUUCUUUUCUUUCUUUUCUUUCUUCUCUUUCCUUCUUUCUUUCUUUCUUUCCUUUCUUUCUUUCUUUUCGUUUCUUCUCUUGCUGCCCCUGCAGGGCAGCUGCUGCUGCUGUCACUGUUGCCACUGCUGCUGCUGCUGCUAGCUGCAGCUGCUCCUGUUGCACUGCUGCUGCUGCUGGCGCAUGCUGCUGCUGCUGCUGCUGGCAGCAGCUGGCUGAGCUGCUGCUGCUAAUGCUGCUUGCUGCUGCUGCUGAUGCUGCUUGCUGCUGCUGCUACUCUAGCAGCUGCUGCUGUUGACAGCCUAGCAGCAGCUUGGCUAAGCUGCUGCUGAUGCUGAAGUUACUGCUGCAGCAGGGAGAGAGAUGAGAGGGAGAAAGAGAGAGCAAAGAGAGAAAGAGAGGAAAAUUUCUUACUUUUCUUUUCUUUUUCUCCUUCUUCAUCAGCUUCUUCUUCUCUUCUUUUCUCCUUCUCUCUCUUUAUACGUAUGCUCGCUGAGGAGAGGGUGCAGAGGGGAUAAGGAUGGAGGGUAUUACAUGGCUGCAGGUUAGUGGAAUUCCACUAACUGGUUCAAUUUACCAAAAUGCCCUUCGACUUAAUCCGUUUAGCGACACGGAUCAAAUACCUUCCGUAAGCCCUUCCGACAGUCCGAUUGAGCUCAAAUUUGGCAGGAAUGAUCGUUUUUACUUAACAAGUCCACUGAAAUUUUAACAUUUCAGUUUCGACCCCGUUUGGUCACUGCGAACUGUCCCGAACUGUAAUCUUUAUCCGAUAACUUCCAAAUGCUAUUUCUCUCUCUACAGGUGUCAGAAUAAUCUGAAACUUUAAAUCUAGCCUCAUACAAAUAUUCCUCACAUCUCCGCCAAUUUUCAUAAUUUUCUGACACUGUGCAUUUUCUGCUAAUUUUUCAGUCCCAUUCUUUACAGAAAAUUUCAAAUCUUCUGUUUUUGCUCCGAUUUCAACACGAACACUUCCAAAACAUGCCAAGGGACUNAUUCACUAAAUUGAUCCAUAACUUAAGCAACAAUCACCUAUUUAGCAUCAUAGGAUUCCAAUAAAUCCAUUUCUAUGAAUUAUAAAUAAAGCUUUGGAGAUCUACCAUUAAAGGGUAGCAAAAGCUUACCUCAAAACUUGCUUCAAACGAUGGAGAAGAUGAAGCGGACGAGGGCGAUCCACCUCCAAGCUGAAAAAGUAUGAAUUUUGGCUUCGAGAGGUAGCUUUCCUUGGACAUUUGAUAUCGGGAUCGGGUAUAGCCGUGGAUCCUAAGAAGAUUGAAGCUAUCAAGGAUUGGCCGAGCCCGACGAGCAUCACGGAGAUUCAGAGUUUCCUUGGAUUGGCCGGUUACUACCGGAGAUUUGUCGAGGGGUUUGCUAAGCUGUCUACUCCCCUCACGAGGUUCACGCAUAAAGGUGUCAAGUUCAUUUGGAAUGAUGCGUGUGAAGGAAGCUUCCAAGAGUUGAAGCAGAGAUUGACUACCGCCCCGAUCCUAACCCUGCCGGUUGCUGGAGUAGGGUAUGUGGUUUAUAGUGAUGUUUCACUUAAUGGAUUGGGUUGUGUAUUGAUGCAGGAUCGCAAGAUGAUCGCUUAUACUUCUCGCCAACUGAAGAAAUAUGAAAAGAACUACCCUACGCAUGAUUUGGAGUUGGCGGCCAUAGUCUUCGCAUUGAAGUUAUGGCGCCACUACUUAUAUGGCGAGUGGUGCAAGGUAUACACGGAUCACAAGAGCUUGAAGUAUUUGUUCACUCAGAAUGAGUUGAACUUGAGACAACGCAGAUGAUUGGAGCUGCUCAAGGAUUAUAAUCUGACAAUCCUUUACCACCCGGGCAAGGCUAACGUGGUGGCGGAUGCGCUAAGUAGGAAAUCGACGGAAAACUUAGCAAUGCAUGUUGUUACUCAACCGUAGUUGAUCGAGCAGAUGAAGUGGUUGGAGUUGGAGGUGGUGACUCUAGACACACCUUUGAGGCUGAUGACCUUGGUUGUGCAACCUACUCUUUUGGAUAGAAUUAAAGAAAAACAAGCUUCCGAUGCGGAGUUGCAAAAGAUUAGAGAUAAAAUGGUUGAUGGUUGCAUCGGCGAAUUCCUUGUGGAUGACUAAGGAUUGAUGCGGUUUUGUGGACCUAUGUGUACCGGCAGAUGCUGAAAUUAAAGAGGAUAUUCUUCAAGAAGCACACCGGGCACCUUAUGCUAUACAUCCGGGAGGCACCAAAAUGUAUAAGGACUUGAAGUUGCUUUAAUGGUGGCCUGGGAUGAAGAAGGACGUUGGCGAGUUUGUAGCUCAUUGUCUAACUUGCCAACAGGUAAAGGCUGAGCACCGAUUGACCGCGGGGAAGCUUCAGAGUUUGCUUAUUCCCGUGUGGAAGUGGGAGAAGAUCACCAUGGACUUCAUGACUGGAUUGCCUCGCUCACAGACCGGACAUGAUGCUAUUUGGGUGAUCGUGGAUAGGUUGACGAAGUCGGCGCACUUCAUACCUAUUCAUACUACUUGGACUGGGGAGAUGCUCGCACAAGUGUACCUUGACGAGAUUGUGUGACUUCAUGGAGUACCUACAUUGAUCGUAUCAGAUCGAAACACACGAUUUGUGUCUCACUUUUGGAGGAGUCUGCAUGACGCCCUAGGCACUUGUUUGGACUUUAGCACUGCUUUCCACCCUCAGAGUGACGGGCAGUCGGAGCGCACUAUUCUGACUUUAGAGGAUAUGCUCCGGGCAUGUGUGAUUGACUUCCAGGGAGGAUGGUCGCAGCAUCUACCGAUGGCGGAAUUUGCUUAUAACAACAAUUAUCAAGCAAGCAUCAAGAUGGCGCCGUUCGAAGUACUUUAUGGACGAAAAUGUAGAUCGCCGCUUUAUUGGAGUGAAGUAGGCGAGAGAUUGGCUUUAGGUCCUGAUGUGCUCCAGGAAGUUGACGACAAGAUUCGAAUUGCUCGGGAGCGACUUUUGACGGCGCAGAGUAGACAGAGGAGCUACUGUAACAUACCAGAUUUUAGUAUAAAAAUAAAAAUAAAUAAAAAUAGUGUGAGAAACUAUUUUUAUUUAAUUUAGAGAAGUAAAAUAUAAGUCAGAAGUGACUUGUGCUGAAAUCGGAAUGAAAACAGGAGAUUUAGAAUUUUCUGUUGGAAACAGGACAGAUAAAUUAACAGAAGAUGCACAGUGUCAGAAAAUUAUAAAAACUGGAGGAUAAGUCAGAAUUAUUUUUAUGAGGCUAGAUUUAAAGUUUCAUAUCAUUCUGACACCCGGAAGGUGAAAAAUAAAAUCCGAAAGCUAUCUGAUAAAGAUUACAGUUCGGUACAGUUUUCGGUGACCAAACAGGGUCGAAACUGAGAUAUUAAAAUUUCUUUGGACUCGUUAAGUAAAACCGAACAUAAAUGUCAAAUUUGAGCUCAAACAGAUAUUCAGGAAGCUCCGGCGAAAGAUAUUAGAUUUUGAGCUGCCUGGAGUGAAUAGUGUUUUGAGGGUGUUAAUGUAUAAAGAAGCUUUGCUUCUUCUCCCUCAACCGACCAGCACACACGCCACACACACACACGCAUGGAGAAGGGAGAGAGAAACCCUCCUUUCUCUCUCUAGAUUUCUCUUAUCUCUCUAAAUCUCUAUCUAAAAAUUGGAGGGUUGGUGGAGAGCGAGCUUGCAAACGUGUUGGAGGCGUCGGUUCAAGUUCUCGUGCGGCCGUUGGAGCGGCAUUCACAUUGUGGUAAGCUUUUGGGAUUUGGCUUAAUCCUUAGCUUUAAGUGUUCUAAUAGCCUCUAAUGAGCAUUGUUAGCAUGUUGCUCCAUUUAAUUUGGAUUAUUUGGAGGUUAAUUACAUAUUAGGGCUCCGAAUGGGAUUUUGUAAAAUAGUAGAGUUUGAUCUCAUUUGACCCUCCGUAAACCUAAUUGCUAGGUAAACGAACGCGUUGGCGAAGUCGGUUCGGCGAUUCGUCGAGCCUACGCGAAGUUAUUAAAGAAACGGACGUUUAGACUUUGUUUCCGCCUGGAGGGCCGAGGCGACAUCGUAAAGUCAUGAAAAUGGAUAUGGAGCACCGUGGCACAUAAUCGAAGACCUAUAAUUUUUGGCGCUGCGAUUCGACCCACGGUUGGUGAGUAUUAGCGAAAUCCGGCCGAACCGGACACGGGUGCCGCGGGAGGCCGAUUGCAAGUGUCGACAAGCAAUCAGAAAGCGAUUUGAGGUCGGUUGUGUUUACCAAAGCGACUAGGU